RNAcentral lists this ribosomal RNA (331 nucleotides) under uncultured bacterium. RNAcentral's name for it is "bacterial SSU rRNA". It matches the Rfam family "Bacterial small subunit ribosomal RNA", at positions 568 to 898 of the family's 1533-position model. The record is from RNAcentral.
CACGCAGGCGGCUCGUUAAAUUAGAAGUGAAAGCCCCGGGCUCAACCUGGGAAUUGCUUUUAAGACUGGCGAGCUAGAAUCCAGAAGAGGGCAGUGGAAUUCCGAGUGUAGAGGUGAAAUUCGUAGAUAUUCGGAAGAACACCAGUGGCGAAGGCGACUGCCUGGUCUGGUAUUGACGCUCAUGUGCGAAAGCGUGGGGAGCAAACAGGAUUAGAUACCCUGGUAGUCCACGCCGUAAACGAUGAGUGCUAGUUGUUGGGGUCCAUAGGACUUCAGUGACGCAGCUAACGCAUUAAGCACUCCGCCUGGGGAGUACGGCCGCAAGGUUAAA